This is a long non-coding RNA of Drosophila mojavensis, 920 nucleotides long. RefSeq lists it as uncharacterized. The transcript is spliced from 2 exons. The record is from RefSeq and is a predicted model, not a curated record. Lineage: Eukaryota; Metazoa; Arthropoda; Insecta; Diptera; Drosophilidae.
CUUAACUGUAAAAGACACAAAUUGGAAGAGUAUGUAUGAGUGAGCAGGCAAUAGCGAAAAUGUAAACAAUAACUGGUGACGUCACCAGUGCGACAAGGCGAGCGACAUCGUUAGAGAUAAGCGCUUGCCAUUUGAAAUCAAAAUGGAUAAAUUAAUCCGCUGUACACAUUAGAAGGGAAAAGCAAAAUUUGUAUUGAUAAUAAUUUACCUACACUAAAUAAAAAUAAUUUUCUGUUAUAAAUUUUUGAGUGCCCUAACUCAAAUGAACACACAUACAGUCAUAUUCGAGCAUACACCUACAACUAACAACCGAUCAGUCUGUUCAGUCUGUAUGCGUCACAAAUGUAAAUGACGCAAUGUUUUUUUUUUUUUUUUUUUUAGCACACAGAGACUCAAUGCACAUCUGUUAGCAGUAUACACUGCAAUUGGCCGUUCCUUGGGUAUAUCAUAGGACGAAUGAAUAUAUAGUUAUUUCACUGAGCUAUUCCGUUUCGCUGGGGUGUAGGGGCUUGCCGAGGGGAAUGGUGGGGGUUGAUCUAGCUCACCUUCUCGUGUGCCGCGUUUGCGACCGAGUGUACUGAAUUUUUCCCAGAUGCUAUCCUCCUUCUCGCCCUUCUUAAUGGCUGUGGGCGUAUGCGGAGAUUUGGGGCGAUUUAAAGUCGACAUCUCUGUGUGUGCGCAACGCAAACAAAAUAAAAAACGAAUAAAACAGAGCGAACGCCGUGCGAUAGAGCAGCAAGACACUCGAUUGACUGGAUUACCGAUAGGCUUUAUCUCUCCUUUUAUUUGGUGUCAUCGAUAUAAUUAAUCGAUACUUAUCAGUGAAAUCUUUAAAUCUUAAGGGCUCUCCAAAGAAUAUAGAAAAUUUAUAGCUAAAUGUUAUUGAUAAAUUAAAAGUCUAUCGGCAGAUGUUUAUGUUA